Long non-coding RNA from Pan paniscus (pygmy chimpanzee), 693 nucleotides. NCBI's taxonomy places the organism in Eukaryota, Metazoa, Chordata, Mammalia, Primates, Hominidae. The record is from Ensembl.
CACAGCACUUAAUUUUAAGCAAGUCCUGUCAAGUUUACAAAACCCAGCUCCACAGGGUAAUGUAGUGCUGGUGUGCUUCGCAUCUGCCUCCCCUUAGCCUGUGCAGCUCCUCUCAGCCACAGGAAGACCUAUCCUUUUUUCCCUCUUUGCAGAAAUUGUGGUAAAGAUCUAGGACAUCGUGUUGAAUUACAGUAUAAUCUGGUUUGAGAAACAGUCUUUUGGAUCUGAAAUGUUCUCCCAUCUGAGCCAGGGCCUGGCAUCCCUUGGGAGAAACUCCCUGAGCUGAUGGUGUGGACGUGCGGUACCUGGGGGGCUUUGCGCCAGCUCUCACGAAAGCAUCGCGAACAGGCUUCAAACUCAACUGCUCUCCGGAACUUCUGUGGCACAGCCCAUCUUUUACAAAUGGGUUGAACCGGGAAGCAAAUGGCCAAACCCUGAAGAUAAUGACUCAACCAAGGUGUUACCACAGAGACCCUUCCUCAGCCCCCUCCACACUGCUAGUCCAAGGUCUUCAGAGUGGUAAAGAUUCAGAUGCUCUCACUGGGAAGAGGCAGCAGAUGGCUCAGCACAGUUCAGCUUUUUCUGUAGCCCCUCUGUCCUGGUGAAUGGGGGUGAUGGUGACUGACAUCUCCCACUGCCAUGAAAAGUUGUUAUAAUUAUGAUAGGGACCUCUUAAUAAAACAGAUAUAUAUU